GUGCCCGUAGCUCAGCUGGAUAGAGCAUCUGCCUUCUAAGCAGAGGGCCGUAGGUCCGAAUCCUACCGGGCACGCCA
This 77-nucleotide transfer RNA is filed under the name Candidatus Orphnella occulta. RNAcentral's name for it is "tRNA-Arg". It matches the Rfam family "tRNA". Rfam says of the family: Transfer RNA (tRNA) molecules are approximately 80 nucleotides in length. Their secondary structure includes four short double-helical elements and three loops (D, anti-codon, and T loops). The record is from RNAcentral. Lineage: Bacteria; Pseudomonadati; Candidatus Omnitrophota.